CAGGUACCCCGUGUAAGAGACACAGUAGUCUGGAGACGAAUGAUCUGCCCUGUGGGAUGAUCCGCAUAGCGAAGUUAAGGGACCCCAAUAAAGGCCUUUCCGUGUGCAGGUAUCUCUCGAAGGAACAGAUCUAUUUCCUCUUUGAUGCGGACCAAUUAUUCUUGGGGGGAGGCUAGCUUGGAAGGAUACUGUGUCAAGUGAUAUACCUAGGAAAACCAUUUUGGUGGUGGGGCCCAGUGUUUUGUCUGGGGACAUGGGAACCCCUAGGAAUAUGAAGAGGGCUGUGGUGCUGAGCAUGCUCCUAGGUGCGUGGGAACCUGUUUCGAUC
Non-coding RNA from Pelobates cultripes (western spadefoot toad), 328 nucleotides. Lineage: Eukaryota; Metazoa; Chordata; Amphibia; Anura; Pelobatidae. The record is from the annotation of a GenBank genome assembly.